This 253-nucleotide ribosomal RNA is filed under the name uncultured bacterium. RNAcentral describes it as "partial 16S ribosomal RNA". It matches the Rfam family "Bacterial small subunit ribosomal RNA", at positions 524 to 776 of the family's 1533-position model. The record is from RNAcentral.
UACGUAGGUGGCAAGCGAUACUCGGAAUCACUAGGCGUAAAGCGCAGGUAGGCGGUUCGGUAAGGCUUUUGUGAAAGCUCCCGGCUCAACUGGGAGAGGCCAAGGGAAACUGCUGGACUAGAGUGUGGUAGGGGAUACUGGAAUUCCUGGUGUAGCGGUGAAAUGCGUAGAUAUCAGGAGGAAUACCUAUGGCGAAAGCAGGUAUCUGGGCCAUCACUGACGCUGAGCUGCGAAAGCUAGGGGAGCAAACAGG